AAACGAUGUCGACUAGAUGUUUGGGGGAGGAGACCNCUUAGUACCGCACUAACGCGUGAAGUCGACCGCCUGGGGAGUACGGUCGCAAGAUUAAACUCAAAGAAAUUGACGGGGACCCGCACAAGCGGUGGAUGAUGUGGAUUAAUUCGAUGAACGCGAAAAACCUUACCUACCCUUGACAUGUCAGGAAGUCCGCUGAGAGGUGGAUGUGCCGAUAAGGGAACCUGAACACAGGUGCUGCAUGGCUGUCGUCAGCUCGUGUCGCGAGAUUUGGGUUAAGUCCCGCAACGAGCGCAACCCUUGUCAUUAGUUGCUACAUUCAGUUGGGCCUCUAAUGAGACUGCCGGUGACAAACCGGAGGAAGGUGGGGAUGACGUCAAGUCCUCAUGCCCUUAUGGGUAGGGCCUCACACGUCAUACAAUGGCGGAUACAGAGGGUUGCCAACCCCGAGGGGGAGCCAAUCCCAGAAAGUCCGUCGUAGUCCGGAUCGGAGUCUGCAACUCGACCCGUGAAGUCGGAAUCGCUAGUAAUCGCGGAUCAGCAUGUCGCGGUGAAUACGUUCCCGGUCUUGUACACACCGCCCGUCACACCAUGGGAGCGGUUUCACCAGAAGUAGCUAGCCUACCCGCAAGGGGGGCGGUUACCACGGUGAGAUCCGUGACUGGGGUG
Molecule: ribosomal RNA, 669 nt
Filed under: uncultured Lake Michigan sediment bacterium LMBA39
Lineage: Bacteria; Pseudomonadati; Pseudomonadota; Betaproteobacteria
Description: bacterial SSU rRNA
Rfam family: Bacterial small subunit ribosomal RNA
Source: RNAcentral